AUAGCAUAAGAAUUAAAGAAAAAUCGUAUUAAGUAAAGGGAAAGUUAGAAGUUAUAAGAUUUCAAUUGAGGAGUCAUGUGAUAGCUGAGUUGUAUGAACCUCUGUUAUGGCCGGAGGUUUGUGCUUUGGUGUGACUACUACUUAGCUUAUUACAGUGAUAAUCAUUGGAAUAUGUCGCGUUAUCAAUAUGUAUAUGAUGAGAUG
RNAcentral lists this long non-coding RNA (204 nucleotides) under Panax ginseng (ginseng). RNAcentral's name for it is "long non-coding RNA (PGIN_LNC010791)". Lineage: Eukaryota; Viridiplantae; Streptophyta; Magnoliopsida; Apiales; Araliaceae. The record is from RNAcentral.